This 180-nucleotide ribosomal RNA is filed under the name uncultured Rhodobacterales bacterium. RNAcentral describes it as "partial 16S ribosomal RNA". It matches the Rfam family "Bacterial small subunit ribosomal RNA", at positions 139 to 334 of the family's 1533-position model. The record is from RNAcentral. Lineage: Bacteria; Pseudomonadati; Pseudomonadota; Alphaproteobacteria; Rhodobacterales.
GGGAACAACAGCUGGAAACGGCUGCUAAUACCCCAUAGGCUGAGGAGCAAAAGGAGGAAUCCACCCAAGGAGGGGCUCGCGUCUGAUUAGUUAGUUGGUGAGGCAAUGGCUUACCAAGGCGACGAUCAGUAGCUGGUCCGAGAGGAUGAUCAGCCACACUGGGACUGAGACACGGCCCAG